AACGAACGCUGGCGGCAUGCCUAACACAUGCAAGUCGAACGAAGUCUUCGGACUUAGUGGCGCACGGGUGCGUAACGCGUGGGAAUCUGCCCUUGGGUACGGAAUAACUCAGAGAAAUUUGUGCUAAUACCGUAUAAUGUCUUCGGACCAAAGAUUUAUCGCCCAAGGAUGAGCCCGCGUAAGAUUAGCUAGUUGGUGGGGUAAAAGCCUACCAAGGCGACGAUCUUUAGCUGGUCUGAGAGGAUGAUCAGCCACACUGGGACUGAGACACGGCCCAGACUCCUACGGGAGGCAGCAGUGGGGAAUAUUGGACAAUGGGCGAAAGCCUGAUCCAGCAAUGCCGCGUGAGUGAUGAAGGCCCUAGGGUUGUAAAGCUCUUUUACCAGGGAUGAUAAUGACAGUACCUGGAGAAUAAGCUCCGGCUAACUCCGUA
RNAcentral lists this ribosomal RNA (433 nucleotides) under uncultured bacterium. RNAcentral's name for it is "partial 16S ribosomal RNA". It matches the Rfam family "Bacterial small subunit ribosomal RNA", at positions 29 to 507 of the family's 1533-position model. The record is from RNAcentral.